Small nucleolar RNA from Vulpes vulpes (red fox), 63 nucleotides. The record is from Ensembl. Lineage: Eukaryota; Metazoa; Chordata; Mammalia; Carnivora; Canidae.
AGUGAUGAUGAACCCCGGUGACUCUGAGUGCCUCACUGACGCCAUCACCGCAGCAAGCUGACU